Molecule: long non-coding RNA, 301 nt
Filed under: Malus domestica (apple)
Lineage: Eukaryota; Viridiplantae; Streptophyta; Magnoliopsida; Rosales; Rosaceae
Description: long non-coding RNA (MDOM_LNC001031)
Source: RNAcentral
UGAACCCUAAGCACUUUCAAGUUUUUGUCAAUGUGCUUUUGUUUAGAAGAAAACGCUUUUAUCGAUUCUAGAAACAAUUCCGAACAUGUUAGGUGAUUAAUGCUAGUCUUGUUAAUUUAAAUAUUUCUAUCAUUUCGCUAAAAGGCAUAGAUCCUUGUAUGUGAUGGUCGUAAAAUAUUUGUCUCUCACAUUAAUUGAUCAUGCAUUACUUGCACAAUAAAAUGAUUGAGAAGGGAAUGCACAUACAUUCCAAACAAAGACAUUUCUCAUUAAGGGGUUAUGAUGUUCAUCAUGAUUCUGU